Molecule: ribosomal RNA, 435 nt
Filed under: uncultured bacterium
Lineage: Bacteria
Description: partial 16S ribosomal RNA
Rfam family: Bacterial small subunit ribosomal RNA
Source: RNAcentral
GAUGAACGCUGGCGGUAUGCUUAACACAUGCAAGUCGAACGGACUCUUCGGAGUUAGUGGCGGACGGGUGAGUAACGCGUGAGAAUCUGGCUUUGGGUUCGGGACAACCACUGGAAACGGUGGCUAAUACCGGAUGUGCCGAGAGGUAAAAGAGAAAUUGCCUGAAGAUGAGCUCGCGUCUGAUUAGCUAGUUGGUGAGGUAAAGGCUCACCAAGGCAGCGAUCAGUAGCUGGUCUGAGAGGAUGACCAGCCACACUGGGACUGAGACACGGCCCAGACUCCUACGGGAGGCAGCAGUGGGGAAUUUUCCGCAAUGGGCGAAAGACUGACGGAGCAAUACCGCGUGAGGGAAGAAGGCUCUUGGGGUGUAAACCUCUUUUCUUAGGGAAGAACAAAAUGACGGUACCUAAGGAAUCAGCAUCGGCUAACUCCGUG